Molecule: non-coding RNA, 201 nt
Organism: Oryza punctata
Lineage: Eukaryota; Viridiplantae; Streptophyta; Magnoliopsida; Poales; Poaceae
Source: Rfam
UCAAAGUGUAGCCAUGAGUUUCUGUAUCCAACUUUAAUUGUUCGUUUUAUUUGAAUUUUUUAUGAUUAGUAUUUUUUUAUUGUUAUUAGAUGAUAAAAUAUGAAUGAUACUUUAUACGUGAUUUAUGUUUUUAUUUUUUUAAUUUUUUUAAAUAAGAUAGACGAUUAAAAUUGGACACGAAAACUCAUGGUUGCGCUUAAA